Non-coding RNA from Tetranychus urticae (two-spotted spider mite), 1749 nucleotides. The record is from RefSeq and is a predicted model, not a curated record. NCBI's taxonomy places the organism in Eukaryota, Metazoa, Arthropoda, Arachnida, Trombidiformes, Tetranychidae.
UAAAGGGUGUAACACUUGACGAUUGAAAAAGUAAAAAGUCUCAGAGAAAAUAUUGGAACACAAAAUUAUCCAUUGAAAAAUUUUUGAUUAAAUAAUCUUGAAGAUACCGGAUAGCUCAAUUAACUGAACUUAUUUAGAUUAGUCAAUCCUAAUAGGGAAAGAUGAUCAUGAAUAUCUCCAUGUAAUUUUGCAUAAACAAGUUCCAAUCCUUGAUUUACCAAAUGUAGAAAAACUUUCUGUUCCAGUUCUGUCUUGCACCAAACCAGAUGAUGAGCUAUUGUAAACAAAUUCAAUAUAAAGUUUUACAGGUCAAUUUGAAAUUGAAAUGUAACUUCAAGUUAUCAUAAAAGAUUAUGUAAUAAUAUUCACAGAGAACCCAUGAAAGUUGAUUUGAUUGUUGUCAAUUGAAAGACGUUUUGCAGCAGAUUAAAUUGAUUUGGACGAUGAAAGUAACCAAAAUUAUCUGAUCACGACAGAAAUCACGACUUAAUUCCAUUGUUGAUAACGACUUGUGGUCAUAAUCAUGAUUAACAGACACAAAUGGAAAGUAAAUUGACUGAAGAAAGUUAAACAUUGGGCAAAAAAAUCACUAGAUUAAAAUUGAACUCAAACAUCAUUAAAACGGCCUUUUACCAAGUCAAAUUUCAUUGGUUAACUAGAUCUGGUAAAAAAGAUUGACUGUCAAGGCCAGGAUAAAAUAAAGACGCUAAGAUAAUAUUGAAAAUAAAUCAAUUAUUGUGAAAUGAAAUGUAAAACUGGUGACCUUUUUGGUCACUGUUUACAGUUAAUGUGUCAUUGUUCACUUUUAAUCUGUAAUCUUAUCUUUUUGUCUGCCAGUCUGCCUUUGUCAUCUUGUCUUCUUAGCGUCUUUGACACAAGAAGAUUCAAUUUUGUCUUUUUCUUCUGUGAUUGUCAGUUAUCAAGCAAACAUCAUCUUUAUUAAUCAAUCAACAUUAACCUGAAUUGUGAUUAUCUUUGGCUACCAUUUGUACCUUUAUUUAGCCAUUCACCAAUUAAUUAUCAACUUCUAUUGUGGUUAUAUGAGUGUUUUCAAAUAUUGAAUUAAUAACCAAAAUGGUUUCACCUUUUCAAAGGAAUGAAAAAUAGGAAUCUUACAUCAGAUUGAGAAACAUGUGCGUUAAUGGAUACUUCAUUGACUUGAUAUAAAUAACAUUUGCAGCUCAUUUACAAUCAUCACAUCAUCUGUUUGAUUAAUCAACUUUUCAUCUUUUAUGCAUGAAUUUAAUUUCAGUUUCAAUUGGAUUCCAACCUUUUUAAUUCCUGGCUGCUUUUCAUUUAUUUUCAACCUCUAUCCUCAUAUUGCAGCUUUCAAUGAAGGUAUCUCUCAGCAUUGGGAAAUUGCAUAUUUAUCAUUUGCCGAUGUCUGGAAAUGGGUAUUUUUUGGCCUCAUGAUAAACUCUUGGAUAAAUCUCAAUUUAUUUCUGAACCUUUAGCUCUUAAACUGGACCAGCAAGUUAACAAAAUCAUCUUUAACCUCCUGGGAUGUUAACGAUAUUUUGUAUCUUACAAAAUAGUAGAGAAUUGGAAAUAAUAAAUUGAUCAAGAAUCAGUUUAUUUUUUAUAAAUUAACCUGAUUUUAAGCCCUUGGGCCAAUAUUGUCAGAUAUUUUUUUACAGUUCAGAAACAAAUAACGAAAAAUGGAUUCUCAUUUUGCUAACACUUAUUCAGAAGCUUUUUAUUAUCAUUUUCAGCUGAAAACAACUUAAAUCUAGUCUUAGUGCGAUUUAC